GACGAACGCUGGCGGCGUGCCUAAUACAUGCAAGUCGAACGCUUCUUUCCUCCCGAGUGCUUGCACUCAAUUGGAAAGAGGAGUGGCGGACGGGUGAGUAACACUUGGGUAACCUACCCAUCAGAGGGGGAUAACACUUGGAAACAGGUGCUAAUACCGCAUAACAGUUUAUGCCGCAUGGCAUAAGAGUGAAAGGCGCUUUCGGGUGUCGCUGAUGGAUGGACCCGCGGUGCAUUAGCUAGUUGGUGAGGUAACGGCUCACCACGGCCACGAUGCAUAGCCGACCUGAGAGGGUGAUCGGCCACACUGGGACUGAGACACGGCCCAGACUCCUACGGGAGGCAGCAGUAGGGAAUCUUCGGCAAUGGACGAAAGUCUGACCGAGCAACGCCGCGUGAGUGAAGAAGGUUUUCGGAUCGUAAAACUCUGUUGUUAGAGAAGAACAAGGACGUUAGUAACUGAACGUCACCUGACGGUAUCUAACCAGAAAGCCACGGCUAACUACGUG
Molecule: ribosomal RNA, 508 nt
Filed under: uncultured bacterium
Lineage: Bacteria
Description: partial 16S ribosomal RNA
Rfam family: Bacterial small subunit ribosomal RNA
Source: RNAcentral